Molecule: transfer RNA, 75 nt
Filed under: Opitutia bacterium
Lineage: Bacteria; Pseudomonadati; Verrucomicrobiota; Opitutia
Also listed under: 2 other names
Description: tRNA-Arg
Rfam family: tRNA
About the family: Transfer RNA (tRNA) molecules are approximately 80 nucleotides in length.
Source: RNAcentral
GCUCCCGUAGUUCAAUGGAUAGAGCGGCGGUCUCCGAAGCCGCAAAUUUGAGUUCGAAUCUCAACGGGAGCACCA